GUCACUUCGGCAGCACAUAUACUAAAAUUGGAAUGAUAUGGACAAGAUUAGCAUAGCCCCUGUGCAAGGAUGACAUUCAAAUCUGUGAAGUGUUCCAUAUUUUU
RNAcentral lists this small nuclear RNA (104 nucleotides) under Microcebus murinus (gray mouse lemur). Lineage: Eukaryota; Metazoa; Chordata; Mammalia; Primates; Cheirogaleidae. The record is from RNAcentral.